RNAcentral lists this long non-coding RNA (338 nucleotides) under Lepidothrix coronata (blue-crowned manakin). Its description in RNAcentral is "lncRNA (ENSLCOG00000011553.1)". Lineage: Eukaryota; Metazoa; Chordata; Aves; Passeriformes; Pipridae. The record is from RNAcentral.
AUGCUCCGGAAAAUGCCCGCUUUCACUGCCUCUCACAGGCUUGCAUUCACAUUACAAACUGCAUUAUCUGGAGCAUUUCAUCUUUGACUGGUGAAACAGCAUUUCCCAUUACGUGGAGAAUUCUGUCCUCUCAAGCUAGCAGCAGCCUGUCUGAGGGAAAAUCUGUGUUUGCUCCUCUCCCAUGGGUGCUUUCCCAGUGCCUGCCUCAAGCUGCCUGUCCUCUCUUGGGAUCCCCCCUGACCACACAAGCAGUUGUGGAGGUGCGUGGUGUGGAGCAGAAACUCCUGGUGGUGAUGUGGCCCUGGCCAGCUGAGGACAGGAUUUUGUGGUUUGCUUUG